AUUGAACGCUGGCGGCAGGCCUAACACAUGCAAGUCGAGCGGAUGGAGGGAGCCUGCUCCUGGAUUCAGCGGCGGACGGGUGAGUAAUGCCUAGGAAUCUGCCUGGUAGUGGGGGAUAACGUCCGGAAACGGGCGCUAAUACCGCAUACGUCCUGAGGGAGAAAGUGGGGGAUCUUCGGACCUCACGCUAUCAGAUGAGCCUAGGUCGGAUUAGCUAGUUGGUGGGGUAAAGGCCUACCAAGGCGACGAUCCGUAACUGGUCUGAGAGGAUGAUCAGUCACACUGGAACUGAGACACGGUCCAGACUCCUACGGGAGGCAGCAGUGGGGAAUAUUGGACAAUGGGCGAAAGCCUGAUCCAGCCAUGCCGCGUGUGUGAAGAAGGUUUUCGGAUUGUAAAGCACUUUAAGUUGGGAGGAAGGGCAGUAAGUUAAUACCUUGCUGUUUUGACGUUACCAACAGAAUAAGCACCGGCUAACUUCGUG
Molecule: ribosomal RNA, 484 nt
Filed under: uncultured bacterium
Lineage: Bacteria
Description: partial 16S ribosomal RNA
Rfam family: Bacterial small subunit ribosomal RNA
Source: RNAcentral